UAAAGCAAAGCAUUUUAUUGCAAGUAUUAGUCAAAGAUACACUUCAAACUGAAGCAAAGCAACACUAAAAGGCCAACAACCUAUGAGAGAGAGAGAGAGAGAGAGUUACAAAAGAAAGAGACAUUCAAACCGAGAGGAAUAGAGCUGUUGGUACAACAGAGGCUUUGCAGCACACAGAGAGACUGAGACAUGGAUCAUCUGGUGGUGAAGGUUCACUGUUCAAACGUGUUACAAACAUCCAUUUGCUGGUGCCUCACUCAGAGGUAUCAGAGCCCAAGAUCUUCACUUUGAAAUCAAACUGACACGAGAGUGAGAGAGAUGCUACAUGGAAAAGAAUAUGACAAUCAGCUCACGCAGAUAUUGUGUUCGAUCCUUGGCCACUGUCGAAUAUCUGUCACCAACACCAUUGUGUGUGUGUGUGUGUGUCUACAUGGGAAACACGGCAUCAGGAGCCUAAUCUCUUGUGCAAUAUUUGGUUCAAAGUCAUUAUUGGAAUGAUAAUGGGAUGAAAACAGGUGAAACAUCUGAUAGCCAUGGGAGUAAACAUUACAGUAAACAUCGAUUCAAGGACAGAGGGCCUUUUUGUUCGACUUUGGAACAGGAUGGACAACACUCAAAAGCUCCAUGUCUCUGAUCCUCUGACUGGGUGAGGGACAACCCAUGAAAACAGUUUAUAAAGAAAAAAACAAAAAACAGCAAUUCAUCAAAACACAACUCAACCUUGGUUCAUUAUACAGGCACAGGUCUCUGUAAUCCAGCUCUGUGAGGACAUUCCAGUCAAGUCUGAGUCAAACCGCGUCUGGAAAGGUUCGUCUUUGGAUUGACAUCAGCAAAUUUUUACAUGAUUGAGAUUUUUUUUAUUUUACGAUGAUCUCUUCCUCAUUUCUGAAUUUCUGCUGAUUUGAAGCCGAGAGUGAUUUCUGAACGCAGUUUGACCCAGACUUGUUUUCAGUUCUGACAUCAGUACAAACAUGCCAGAGUAAAUCUUUGAAAGCUGUUCGUACAUUGUAAUCCUGCAGCAAUACUAGUGGUUUACAUGAAAUAUGAAAAGAGAUGAAAACGCCGGUAGAGUUUUGUGAGCACAUGGAAAUCUGACGACUACGUAAGAACGCACUUAAGGCUGAGGCGUGUCUUCUUUUUUUGUGGAAUGAGACCUGUUUCCUGCUCUUUAACAAAAAGGUUCUGGCACAAGAAAAAACUUGACGAAUUUCAAAAGGAAAGAAGAUUCAACACUUUAAAUUUUCACCAGGAUUUAAAGAUUUCUGCCGUUUCAACAUCGACCUUUUCUUCCCUUGCUGCUUUUAAAAGUUUUCUUCUUUUCUUUUCCCACCUGCUCUUUACUGGCUCAGGGAGUUCGCAUGGCUAACGUACCAAUUAGCAGCUUGGGAUGAUUGAAAAAAAAAGAAAAAAAAAGUUGACUAUCCGACAAUAUUUGACGUCAGUAUGGUUCAGAAAUGGUUCCCUUCGUCAGAGAUGAGCUGCAACAUGUGGGGGUUAGCGUUUUGGCCUUCUAAAGUUUGUAAAAAGAAAAGUGGAGGGCAAAAAAAUACUGAGAAAAGAAAGAGGACGAUUUGACCUUCAGACGUCAACCAGAACCUGAUACACGGCUCCGUUUGUCCAGGCAAAAUAGACCUCCUCCUUUUCCUCCACCUCGCACCCCCCUCCAUAUUGUUGUGCUUGCGUGUCUAAGAGAAUAAGGCGUCAACAUGGAGGGGGAGGGGCUAAAGGCCUCGUUUCACUCCUGGCUCCACCCCCACCAUGCUGCAAUAUGAUGCGGAGACUCCAGCCGCUUGAACGCACUCUCAAUAAAUACACCAUAAAAUAUUCCGCACAUAUAUAUUUCAUAUAUAAAUUUAAAAGAAACGACACAUUUAAAUAGGACAACAAAGUAAAGUCGGCUCAAGAACAAUUCGUCAAAAUCGGAUAAGUGUUAAGAC
RNAcentral lists this long non-coding RNA (1937 nucleotides) under Xyrichtys novacula (pearly razorfish). Lineage: Eukaryota; Metazoa; Chordata; Actinopteri; Labriformes; Labridae. The record is from RNAcentral.